GUGAGCAACCUGCCCCCGACUCCGGGAUAAGCGGUGGAAACGCCGUCUAAUACCGGAUACGACCGGCCACCUCAUGGUGGCGGGUGGAAAGUUUCUCGGUUGGGGAUGGGCUCGCGGCCUAUCAGCUUGUUGGUGGGGUAAAGGCCUACCAAGGCGAUUACGGGUAGCCGGCCUGAGAGGGCGACCGGCCACACUGGGACUGAGACACGGCCCAGACUCCUGCGGGAGGCAGCAGUGGGGAAUAUUGCGCAAUGGGCGAAAGCCUGACGCAGCGACGCCGCGUGGGGGAUGACGGCCUUCGGGUUGUAAACCUCUUUUACCACCAACGCAGGCUCCCGGUUCUCCGGGGGUUGACGGUAGGUGGGGAAUAAGGACCGGCUAACUACGUGCCAGCAGCCGCGGUAAUACGUAGGGUCCGAGCGUUGUCCGGAAUUAUUGGGCGUAAAGAGCUCGUAGGCGGCGUGUCGCGUCUGCUGUGAAAGACCGGGGCUUAACUCCGGUUCUGCAGUGGAUACGGGCAUGCUAGAGGUAGGUAGGGGAGACUGGAAUUCCUGGUGUAGCGGUGAAAUGCGCAGAUAUCAGGAGGAACAC
Molecule: ribosomal RNA, 591 nt
Filed under: Nocardiopsis sp. EGI80328
Lineage: Bacteria; Bacillati; Actinomycetota; Actinomycetes; Streptosporangiales; Nocardiopsidaceae
Description: bacterial SSU rRNA
Rfam family: Bacterial small subunit ribosomal RNA
Source: RNAcentral